This 447-nucleotide ribosomal RNA is filed under the name uncultured bacterium. Its description in RNAcentral is "partial 16S ribosomal RNA". It matches the Rfam family "Bacterial small subunit ribosomal RNA", at positions 29 to 523 of the family's 1533-position model. The record is from RNAcentral.
AACGAACGCUGGCGGCAGGCCUAACACAUGCAAGUCGAACGCACCGCAAGGUGAGUGGCGCACGGGUGAGUAACACGUGGGAAUGUACCCUUUGGUUCGGAAUAACGUUUGGAAACGAACGCUAAUACCGGAUGAGCCCUACGGGGGAAAGAUUUAUCGCCAAAGGAGCAGCCCGCGUCUGAUUAGCUAGUUGGUGGGGUAAAGGCCUACCAAGGCGACGAUCAGUAGCUGGUCUGAGAGGAUGAUCAGCCACACUGGGACUGAGACACGGCCCAGACUCCUACGGGAGGCAGCAGUGGGGAAUAUUGGACAAUGGGCGCAAGCCUGAUCCAGCCAUGCCGCGUGAGUGAUGAAGGCCUUCGGGUUGUAAAGCUCUUUCGCACACGACGAUGAUGACGGUAGUGUGAGAAGAAGCCCCGGCUAACUUCGUGCCAGCCGCCGCGGUAA